This 2093-nucleotide long non-coding RNA is filed under the name Panax ginseng (ginseng). RNAcentral describes it as "long non-coding RNA (PGIN_LNC009642)". Lineage: Eukaryota; Viridiplantae; Streptophyta; Magnoliopsida; Apiales; Araliaceae. The record is from RNAcentral.
GAAAACUGAUUGAUUAGAGCAAAUAAAUUGCAAGUAUGUUCAGGUAUCACAUUAUUUUAUUUAUAAUUAAGAUUUAUUCAUUGUCCAUAAUGAACUUGUACUCUUAUUAAUGUUGCAUGUUCUUUCUACCUUAUGAAGGUUUAAUGGUUAAUACACAUCUUUACAUUGACUAUUUAUUUGGUUAAAGCAAUUUUAUACAAUUGACAACGGCAAUUUGUGUUUGGAUAUAUUGAUUGACCUAUACACCAUUAUUACUAGUUUUUGUUUCAAAUUUUGUUUCCUCUAUCUUUCCUUCUUAAUUUUUUUAUACACUGUAUGAAUAUUGUGUUCUGUUUCACUUAGAAACAUCCCACAAAUUUUGAGCACUCUACACAUUUGAAGAUGGAAAUAUAUUGUGAAAUUAUGUAUAUAAUCGUUAUAUUUCUCUUGUUCUAAACCUUAUAUGAAUUACAAUAACCUUAUGUUGCAAUUGUUCUCAAUCUUAUAUUGGUAAACGUAACAACAUGCCUUGGUUUGUGUUACAAAGCAGCGGUGGAAUGCAACUUUCGAGACAAUAGUUGUGAUCUGGAGUUGCAUUAAUCUUUAUUUAAAUUCUUAGAUUUUCCAUAAUUCCAUAGUAUCCUCAUUCUGAGAUCAAUGUUGUAAAUUUUCCUCUAGGAAGCGCAAAUCCUCCUUUUGCAACCAAUCUUAAAAAAUGUUUAAUGUCUAUCAAUACUUACAAAAAUGUUUAUAAUUUGAUAUAUACAUUUGAUCAAUCUGCUAUAGAGGCCCUUCAGUAUAUUUUGUUAAUUUAUUAAGCAACUUUUUAUCCAAUUUUAUACUUCUUAUGAGCAAUCAAACAUUUCAGCAGAGUGAUUCAACUUGUCAUUUCAACCUUCUGUGGCCAACCUUGAUAUAUGUUUCUCAAUUUGAUUUAUAAAUUUGAUCAAUGUGUUAGUGGUCUUUUUGUAUACUUUGUAAAUAUAACAAGCAACUUUAUGUUCCAUUUAAUCCUUAUGGACAACCAAAUUGUUCAACAGGGGAGGGCGUCAACUUUUCAGUUUAGCCUUUAAUUGUUUUGUACCCUUGAUUUUCUUUCUCCUAUUUGAAAAGUUGGAUUCAUUUGUAUCAAAGAUGGAAUAUAUUUUCUGUUCCAAAAAAGAUUCUGAAGGUUUGCAAUCCCAACUUAGAAUUUACAGGCUAUUUGGAUUUGGAGAUCGGAGAUGUAGAAAUGAUAUAUUGCUCCUUUUUUCAUGUUCAAAGAACUAGCAUUAUUCAAUUGAAACUAUCAAUAUUAUCAUUUUAUGGCAUACCUUGAAAGCUAAUCACUAGCUUUUACUGUGUUUGUUGAAAAGGUGCAAGGAAGAGACCGUUUGUAUGUCAAAUAUAUAGCAGAGCAGCUGGGAUUGCAUGUUCUUUCUAGCUUGUGAAUGAUGAAUCGUCAAUAAUGUUAUGGUAUGACAUUUUUGACAGAUUAUGUGCAUCUUUUGUUCUGCUUUGUCCUAAUCAAACCAAUCUUUAGACAUUGCUUGAUGAUCUGAAGACGAAGUAUAGAUGAUGAUAUGGUUUUGAGCCCUAAAGAAGCUUUAUCCCGAGCCUUUGUUGAUGAAAGAAGCAGAUAUCUCAGUCGGUGUGUUUGUUCCAUUUAUCUUGGUUUUAAAUUUGUUCUUUUUGUCUGAAACCAUACAUUGGAUGGAGCAAUCAUAUAGUCACACUGAAGGUUCUUUUUCUAUUUGGAUUUGUAGCAAAUGAUAUUGUAAUUGUCUAUUUGCCGUUUUCUGCUUAUGAGCAAUACGGUGUACAUUAGUACCACGUAACAACUCUAUUGUCUUUGUGUAUUGAUUUUGGCAUUAAGUAUCUCUGGUGACCUAUUUGCUUCAUUUUCCUGACUUGCUAUUAUUUUUAAAUAUGUGCAGGAAAACUGUUUCUACGACCUGCCUUACAAUACUGGGUAUCAAAUUUUUGUGCUACGUUUACGGAAGACAAAGGACGAAAUUAUGAAGUGUACUCUCUAUAUAUAUGUAGAUAUAUACUUUGAUUGAAGAACUAUGGUAGCUUUAGAUGGUUAAUUGUAAAGAUAAUGAAUGAUUAUGUAGUGAAUGAUUUUAUUAAGU